This 372-nucleotide ribosomal RNA is filed under the name uncultured organism. RNAcentral's name for it is "bacterial SSU rRNA". It matches the Rfam family "Bacterial small subunit ribosomal RNA", at positions 526 to 896 of the family's 1533-position model. The record is from RNAcentral.
CAGAGACUGCGAGCGUUAUUCGGAUUCACUGGGCGUAAAGGGUGCGCAGGCGGCCAAGUGUGUGAGGCGUGAAAGCCCAGGGCUUAACCCUGGAAUUGCACCUCAAACUACAUGGCUAGAGCAUUGGAGAGGGAAGCGGAAUUCACGGUGUAGCAGUGAAAUGCGUAGAUAUCGUGAGGAACACCAGAGGCGAAGGCGGCUUCCUGGACAAUUGCUGACGCUCAGGCACGAAAGCGUGGGGAGCAAAAGGGAUUAGAUACCCCUGUAGUCCAUGCCCUAAACGGUGCAUACUAGGUCUUGGCGGAUUCGACCCCACCAGGGCCCAAGCUAACGCGUUAAGUAUGCCGCCUGAGGACUACGGCCGCAAGGCUA